This 440-nucleotide ribosomal RNA is filed under the name uncultured bacterium. RNAcentral's name for it is "partial 16S ribosomal RNA". It matches the Rfam family "Bacterial small subunit ribosomal RNA", at positions 338 to 795 of the family's 1533-position model. The record is from RNAcentral.
CCUACGGGUGGCUGCAGUGAGGAAUAUUGCACAAUGGGGGAAACCCUGAUGCAGCAACGCCGCGUGAGUGAAGAAGUAUUUCGGUAUGUAAAGCUCUGUCAGCAGGGAAGAAGGUGCCGAUACCUGAAUAAGAAGCACCUGCUAACUACGUGACAGCAGGCGCGGUAAUACGGAGGGGGCAAGCGUUAUCCGGAUUUACGGGGUGUAAAGGGAGCGGAGAUGGUGGGACAAGUCUGAAGUGAAUGCGCGGGGCUCAACCCCGGGACUGCCUUGGAAACUGCCUGACUGGAGUGCUGGAGAGGGAAGCGGAAUGCCUGGUGUAGCGGUGAAAUGCGUAGAUAUUAGGAAGAACACCAGUGGCGAAGGCGGCUUGCUGGACAAUAACUGACGUUGAGGCGCGAAAGCGUGGGGAGCAAACAGGAUUAGAUACCGCAGUAGUC